GCACAGGCAGCUUCUCCAGGGAAGGGCCGUCCGCGCGCCAGCGCACCUGGUGGUGGGCUGCGGGCAGGCACGACCCCCGGCGCGGGUGCGGGUGGUGAUGGCGGUUCCUGCAGACGCCUGGGACUUGCGGAGCGUGAAGCCGAGCGGCGCUAGGACCGCGGCAGAGGCGGCGCGCCGGCACAGUCGCCAGAUCCAGUUCCAAGUGCCGAACCGAACGCGGAGCCAGGAGAUGCAGUCUCACUCUGUGGCCCAGGCUGGAGUGCAGUGGCGUGAUCUUGGCUCACUGCAACCUCCAUCUCCUGAGUUCAAGCAAUUCUCCUGUCUCAGCCUCCUAAAUAGUUGGAAUUACAGGCAAGCACCACCACGCUCAGCUACAGGAAUUUAGCCAAUUCAGAGGAAAUCUUCCCCAUAAUUAUGGAACUUUCUUACAGAUUUUACCAAGUCUGGUCAACCCAAUAAGAAAAAGACUGAAAUAACAACAACAACUUCAACAAAUAAAAAAAAACAGUUAAGCUAAAUAAACAGAUGAUUGCAGAAUUUAUGUGAUUACUGGGUACUCUAAUGGUAAGGAGAAAUUAAGACCAGCUAGUUGUUAAUCUUAACUUUUAGUCAUUAAGGAGAAUUUCCAAGACAAAACUGCAAUCCAGCUGCUUACCUAGGAAUACGGCUUAGGCUGAAAACUUCUAUCGUCUUAGAAAUGGGAAUAAACCUCACACUCACCGUCCCUGUUGGAAGCAAGCUGAAACUCCAAAAAAAAAGUUGCCUGUUGUCCAUCAUCAUGGUGAAGCGGCGUCGUUGUCUGGGUUCUGAAGGCUGGGAAGUCCAAGAUUAAGGCGUCAACAGGUCUUGUGUCUGCUGAGGGCUGUCUCCCUGAUUUGCAGAUGUCUGCUUUCUUGCUGUGUCCUCACAUGGGAAAAAGAGAGAGAAUUUGCUGGUAUUCCUUUUUAUAAGGACACUAACCCCAUUCAUGAGGGUCCCACCCUCAUGACCUCGCCUAAACCUAUAACCUCCAAGGACUCCAUUUCCAAAUACCAGCAACCACAUGUGUGAGCUUAGAAGAGGAUCCUUCCCCAGGUGAGCCUUGAGAUGACCCUGGCCUGUGACUUGAUGGCAGCUUUUGAGAGACUGAGCCAGAGGCCUCCAGGUAAGCCCUUCUCAGAUUCCUGAACCACAGAAACUGUGAGAUAAUCAAUUUUAUUGAUAUCUUGUGGAUAUUGAUAUCCCCAGUUUUAUUGUGGAAUAGAUAACUGCCACACAGCUCCUGACAACUGGCAUCUUGACACAUGUUCUGUGCUCCAGGUCCCAGUAACUGUGCCCAUCCAUUGUUACCACAGGUCACAGUGGCCCUGGCCCUGGGGCAUUAUACUCUCUCUUGGUGUAUUAGUCCAUUCUUAGGCUGCUAAUAAAGAUAUAUCUGAGACUGGGUAAUGUAUAAAGAAAAA
RNAcentral lists this long non-coding RNA (1442 nucleotides) under Homo sapiens (human). RNAcentral describes it as "long intergenic non-protein coding RNA 621". Lineage: Eukaryota; Metazoa; Chordata; Mammalia; Primates; Hominidae. The record is from RNAcentral.